UCAAAUCCAUCUCAAAUAUAAUAGAAUAAAUAGGAAUUCAAUUUUAUUAUCCAUUAAAUGAAACUAAUACUGGUUCAGAGCGUCUAAAUCCAAACAUAAAUACCAAUUCGACAAUCUUUACUAUUCAGAAAAUCACUAACUAUAAUUUCACAAUCAAUUGAAGAACUAAAAUUCUGCUCUGCUAUAAAGAUAAGCCAAGCUUGCUAGCGCAAACUCCAAGCCUAGGCCAUCCUUCGUU
RNAcentral lists this long non-coding RNA (238 nucleotides) under Phoenix dactylifera (date palm). Its description in RNAcentral is "long non-coding RNA (PDAC_LNC015384)". The record is from RNAcentral. Lineage: Eukaryota; Viridiplantae; Streptophyta; Magnoliopsida; Arecales; Arecaceae.